This 497-nucleotide ribosomal RNA is filed under the name uncultured bacterium. RNAcentral describes it as "partial 16S ribosomal RNA". It matches the Rfam family "Bacterial small subunit ribosomal RNA", at positions 28 to 507 of the family's 1533-position model. The record is from RNAcentral.
GAUGAACGCUGGCGGCGUGCCUAAUACAUGCAAGUCGAGCGAACGGACGAGAAGCUUGCUUCUCUGAUGUUAGCGGCGGACGGGUGAGUAACACGUGGAUAACCUACCUAUAAGACUGGGAUAACUUCGGGAAACCGGAGCUAAUACCGGAUGAUAUUUUGAACCGCAUGGUUCAAAAGUGAAAGACGGUCUUGCUGUCACUUAUAGAUGGAUCCGCGCUGCAUUAGCUAGUUGGUAAGGUAACGGCUUACCAAGGCAACGAUGCAUAGCCGACCUGAGAGGGUGAUCGGCCACACUGGAACUGAGACACGGUCCAGACUCCUACGGGAGGCAGCAGUAGGGAAUCUUCCGCAAUGGGCGAAAGCCUGACGGAGCAACGCCGCGUGAGUGAUGAAGGUCUUCGGAUCGUAAAACUCUGUUAUUAGGGAAGAACAUAUGUGUAAGUAACUGUGAACAUCUUGACGGUACCUAAUCAGAAAGCCACGGCUAACUACAUG